This 253-nucleotide ribosomal RNA is filed under the name uncultured bacterium. RNAcentral describes it as "partial 16S ribosomal RNA". It matches the Rfam family "Bacterial small subunit ribosomal RNA", at positions 524 to 776 of the family's 1533-position model. The record is from RNAcentral.
UACGUAGGGUGCGAGCGUUAAUCGGAAUUACUGGGCGUAAAGCGUGCGCAGGCGGUUCGUUAAGUUCGUUGUGAAAGCCCCGGGCUCAACCUGGGAACUGCAAUGGAAACUGGCGGGCUUGAAUGCGGCAGAGGGGGGUGGAAUUCCGCGUGUAGCAGUGAAAUGCGUAGAUAUGCGGAGGAACACCGAUGGCGAAGGCAAUCCCCUGGGCCUGCACUGACGCUCAUGCACGAAAACGUGGGGAGCAAACAGG